This 253-nucleotide ribosomal RNA is filed under the name uncultured bacterium. RNAcentral describes it as "partial 16S ribosomal RNA". It matches the Rfam family "Bacterial small subunit ribosomal RNA", at positions 524 to 776 of the family's 1533-position model. The record is from RNAcentral.
UACGUAGGGUGCAAGCGUUGUCCGGAAUUAUUGGGCGUAAAGAGCUCGUAGGCGGUCUGUCGCGUCUGCUGUGAAAACUCGGGGCUUAACCCCGGGCCUGCAGUGGGUACGGGCAGACUAGAGUGCGGUAGGGGAGACUGGAAUUCCUGGUGUAGCGGUGAAAUGCGCAGAUAUCAGGAGGAACACCUAUUGCGAAGGCAGCUCGCUGGGACGUAACUGACGCUGAGACGCGAAAGCGUGGGGAGCAAACAGG